UGGCAGUGAUGAUACAAAGGCUGGACUUACGGCUGCUACCAUUUGGUUGUUACUUGGUAGUAGAUUGAUGAAAGUUAGGUUAGGUAUUUUGCUGAGCCAG
RNAcentral lists this small nucleolar RNA (100 nucleotides) under Olea europaea subsp. europaea. RNAcentral's name for it is "Small nucleolar RNA snoR113". It matches the Rfam family "Small nucleolar RNA snoR113". The record is from Rfam by way of RNAcentral. Lineage: Eukaryota; Viridiplantae; Streptophyta; Magnoliopsida; Lamiales; Oleaceae.